AUUGAACGCUGGCGGCAGGCCUAACACAUGCAAGUCGAACGGUAACAGGAAGAAGCUUGCUUCUUUGCUGACGAGUGGCGGACGGGUGAGUAAUGUCUGGGAAACUGCCUGAUGGAGGGGGAUAACUACUGGAAACGGUAGCUAAUACCGCAUAACGUCGCAAGACCAAAGAGGGGGACCUUCGGGCCUCUUGCCAUCGGAUGUGCCCAGAUGGGAUUAGCUAGUAGGUGGGGUAACGGCUCACCUAGGCGACGAUCCCUAGCUGGUCUGAGAGGAUGACCCGCCAACCUGGAACUGAGACACGGUCCAGACUCCUAAGGGAGGCAGCAGUGGGGAAUAUUGCACAAUGGGCGCAAGCCUGAUGCAGCCAUGCCGCGUGUAUGAAGAAGGCCUUCGGGUUGUAAAGUACUUUCAGCGGGGAGGAAGGGAGUAAAGUUAAUACCUUUGCUCAUUGACGUUACCCGCAGAAGAAGCACCGGCUAACUCCGUG
Molecule: ribosomal RNA, 490 nt
Filed under: uncultured bacterium
Lineage: Bacteria
Description: partial 16S ribosomal RNA
Rfam family: Bacterial small subunit ribosomal RNA
Source: RNAcentral